RNAcentral lists this long non-coding RNA (595 nucleotides) under Linum usitatissimum (flax). Its description in RNAcentral is "long non-coding RNA (LUSI_LNC001895)". The record is from RNAcentral. Lineage: Eukaryota; Viridiplantae; Streptophyta; Magnoliopsida; Malpighiales; Linaceae.
AAGCUCGAGAUCAGAGUAAAACCGCCCUUCAGCUACGAGUGCCUGCCAGUGGAUAUUGCGGUGAAUCAAGAGUAUCGAGAAAAUCCGGCAUAACAAAGAUAAUACUUACAUUAUCAAUCUGCUGAUCCUGUUGUGCCUUAAUAGCGGCUUUCACUUGAUCCUUGUCAACAUUUCUCUGCAAUUUAAACAUUUUACAGCACAACUGUUAAAGGACCACAAUGGAUUAAGUAGCUACAGAAAGAUUUCACGUGAAAAAUGAUAAAAUCUCCAAAAAAGUUCAAAACUUUUUUAUGCUCCAAAUCAGUAACUCAUAAGUUCCAAUCAUAAAUAACUGGUUAUAAUUGACUUGAAAUCUAACUCAAAAUAAUCAAGUAACAGCUAGAUCAUGUUUCCGGUUUCAUAACUCUAGAAUUAAAAGUAGGUUGAGCUUAACAGGUUAACACGACUGAUUUAGAUUGAUAUAGCUAAAGCGCAUGUAUAAUUAAUAGUGAACAUCAACAGCAUGAAUGCGCAUCAUGUGAAAUCAGACUUACCCCUCGAAGAGAGCCAAAACCGAGUCCAGCACCAACCGUCAAGCGUCGUGGAUCAACAAGAG